Molecule: long non-coding RNA, 267 nt
Filed under: Zonotrichia albicollis (white-throated sparrow)
Lineage: Eukaryota; Metazoa; Chordata; Aves; Passeriformes; Passerellidae
Description: lncRNA (ENSZALG00000016785.1)
Source: RNAcentral
ACAGGGGUCAGUUUGCAGUAGGACACUCUCAGGACAGGAGUCAGUUUGCAGUAAGAUGCUCCAGGCCAGGGGUCAGUUUGCAGUGGGAUGCUCUCAGGACAGGGGUCAGUUUGCAGUAGGACACUCUCAGGACAGGGGUCAGUUUGGAGUGGGAUGCUCCAGGACAGGGGUCAGUUUGCAGUAGGACACUCUCAGGACAGGGGUCAGUUUGGAGUGGGAUGCUCCAGGACAGGGGUCAGUUUGCAGUGGGAUACUCUCAGGACAGGG